Molecule: long non-coding RNA, 243 nt
Filed under: Phaseolus vulgaris (common bean)
Lineage: Eukaryota; Viridiplantae; Streptophyta; Magnoliopsida; Fabales; Fabaceae
Description: long non-coding RNA (PVUL_LNC002143)
Source: RNAcentral
GCGAUUGUAUUCCCGGCGUGCUGGUUGCUGGCGCGCUUGGCUCCUUCCCUUGUUCCUCCUAUCGUAAGGAUGGCGAGUCCUCUGGUCCUUCCUGGCCGCCGCCGCCGUCUCCAGCACCCUCUGCGGCUGGAUCCUGGUCUGGGCGCGUGGCCUGGCGGGAGCCACGCUUCCUCUCUUCUCGGCGACUUCAUUCUCGUCGGCGAUGUGAGCCACCGCAAGUCGCCUGACUUCAGCAAACGUCGC